CGUCCAAAUAGCUGAAAACGGAGACGCAAACUCAUACACAACAAACUAUAUUCGACCGGUUCAUUGAUACAUGAUUGAAAGUUAUUCUUAAUUUUUUCAGUAUGAAGGUCCACAAACACCCUCUGCUUUGGGUCCCCGGGUCUGAGGUCUGUCUGCGCCUGAGUUACCCUCCACUCGCUAAUUAUUGUCUCGUCUUAGCAUUUGUGUUGAUGCAGAUUUCCUUCAGUCAUGGAAAAAAGUCUUUACGUGAGCAUCCUCUAAAGCUGCAGGAAAAAUUGUGUAGCAACAUCACAACAACACUGCUGCUAUGAGAGAAUUUGCAUUAUUUUGAAUAAACCCACAGAAAGAUCUCACAUUGAGUUCAACUGCAAUGAACUUUGAAAUGCCAAAGAGUCCAAACUAAUAAUAGCUGUGGCUGUUACCGACUGAGAAGAGCAGCUGGCAGCAGUUCAGCGAGUUUAUUCAUGAACGUGGGUUUGGGCGAGCGGCGAGACCGACCCGGAGGGGAAAGGUCGGAUCACAGAGACGAGAGAAACCCGACGGAUGUCCAGCACACGAUCCGGUCGCUUCCUGUUGACCCGAGUGUCCAUCUGAGGAAGUAACAUGCUGACCUCCAACCGGCUAAUAGGCCGAGGGGACAUAUCAGAUAUCAUAGUGUCCCUGGCAAACGGGGCGGCGGGUCUAAUUGGAGCCGGGCUGAUUAUCUCGGGCUGAGUGCCGUGAGACGAGGACGGAGACGGAGGGACCGGUAGCUCAACUGACAGGUGGUAGAACAGCAAUUAUAAAACUAAACUUUGUUGCCUCUCAGAAAGCAGGUCUUAUUUGUAACGAGUGAAGUGAUAAAAGAAGAAAAUAAUUGGAUUUUUUUUUCAGCCUCCAAGCCUUAAAUGUUUUCAGCAAAGAGUCUUUGAACAAAGUGUAUUUCAUUCUAACCUUUGAUUAACGGUUCCCGCACUCGAGGCCGAGCCGCAAAAAAGCAAAUUAUUCUCAAGAUCAAGCUUUAGCCAUCUCAUUAUCUUUUUGCCAUCUCUCCUCAGUUUGUUUCCCUUCACUCGCCCCGACCGGCGAUGUUGUCCGUCCUGUGGAUGUGCUGGUGUCGCUUUAGCGUCUGUUUGUGUUUUUGCCUUUGUCGCAGCAACGAGAAAGCUGUGUUUCAUUUUCUGGGGCCAAUUAGUGACUCACCGACCCGCCUUCACUGUCCGUGUGCGUUUGUUCUGAUCCGGUCUAAAACAAAGAUCUCGCUGGUGGGCGGGACUUGAACCCAGAUGGCCACAAGCCUUAACAAAGUUUUAGCUCGGCCAAAUGAAAAGUGUUCAAUGCGACUUGUCAACUUGUGUGGAGGAGCAGAGGCCGCUUGUGAAAGACCUGGGGUGAAAGGUCAGGUCCGACUGAGUCGGGAAAUACUUUCAAGAAAAAGUAAACUGACAGACUAAGAGACCAAUUUGCUUUUCUUACCACCUUUUCUUUUCUUGAGGGAAGAAGCGAGGCGCCACAGAUUGUGAAGCUACUUUUUUCAGAUGAUAGUUUAUCAUCUUUCAUUCCCGAUGUCUCAUCGUUUUGGCAGAUGCACAUUUUUACCUUCAGUGUGAGAAGUUCACCGGAUCAAAACCAGGUUUUUCAUGACUAAACUUGCGGACUGCGGAGGAGUGGCGCAAAGACCUGUCAAUCAGCGUGUAGCCCCGGCCUCGUCUGCCAUCCGCUGCUUCCUGGUCUGUUUUACUGUCAAUGGACCAUAAUUUACUGUUGUGAUGAAGAUGAACUAGAUAGAGAUGAAACUAGAGAUUGAGACCAUGAACUCAUGUUUACAAUGUUUACUGAGGGAAUAAAUCAAGAGAGAAGUAGAGUCAUUUCCUCAUAGACGUCUAUGGGAGCAGAGGAGUCGCCCCCUGCUGAUCACUACAGAGAAGUAGAGUCAUUUCCUCAUAGACGUCUAUGGGAGCAGAGGAGUCGCCCCCUGCUGGUCACUACAGAGAAGUAGAGUCAUUUCCUCAUAGACGUCUAUGGGAGCAGAGGAGUCGCCCCCUGCUGGUCACUACACAGAAGUAGAGUCAUUUCCUCAUAGACGUCUAUGGGAGCAGAGGAGUCGCCCCCUGCUGGUCACUACACAGAAGUAGAGUCAUUUCCUCAUAGACGUCUAUGGGAGAGAAUGCAGUAUUAAGAAAGGAAGCUUUGGAUCCACACGGUAGAACCGGAGGAUGCUCACUGUUCUGUUACACAACAAUAUAAUACUGAACUAUCAUUCAGAAGUGAUGAUCUACAUUCAUCUUCAAAAAGUAAAGUCAGAUGUUUUGUAGCUAUUUUUGACAAAAAACGUGAUGCUCUGCAGCUUCCUCAGACGCUCAGACAUUCAUCCCACCUGUGGGGAAUCAAGAGGAGAUUUUCUCAUCACUCCUCUGUGAGCUUCAGCUCUGCAAACACUCGUCUCCUCCGGCGGCUUCGGUCCGCUGCCGACACAAACCCGGCGUUCAUCUCCCCGCUCUUUAAUAUUUCAUCUGCUGCGAUAUGAUGAGCGAGGACCCGGCCGACUCACCUGCAGCCGCGUGGAGAAUCUCGGGGAAAAAGACUCAAGGAGUUUUAUUAUUCUUAUUUUAGCGUUCUGACUCUGACAGUUUCAUCUCUGAAUUAUUAAAAGCGCCGCUACCUGCAGCGAGUUCUCCUACACAUUCACCUCACGGUCAGCCGCUCAUUAAUUAAUCACAACGCUCGACUUAUGGAUUUUAAUAUCCUGAAUCAUUUAUGUGGAAGCUUUAUUUUAACCGCCUACAAACAUCUAAUCAAUAUAAGGAACUAUGACUCUGUGGAUAGAGAGUCUUAACUGUGAGAAGUCAACUCAACUUUGGGAGAGUUUUUAUUUACCACACAGACUCCCCCUUUUCUCCUGUUUGCUUCCAGUGAGGAGACGUACCGACCUUCUGCCUCUGCAAACAUCAGCUUCAAGACUUUUAGCCGCGCUGAUUAUUUUCCUGUGACCUCCUCUCGCGAGCGGCCGCGGACUGGGGAGGGGGGAGGAAACGGCGUCUCUCUGGCCCGCUAAAGGUCGCCGUCUCAUCUCCUCGUUCAGCCGCCUGUCUUCGAUCCGGGUCACAUCUCAGAGGGAACUCGCACUUCACGGACUCGUGAAACAUGAAGUGUUCACCAAACAUAUCGUUUGAAGAGGAGAACACGUCUGAAUGAGGUGAGAAGAUGAAUAAACCAGUCAGCGGAAGGAUUCGCUUUAGGAGGCUUUGAAGGACGCUCCUCUUAGCGCCUCCUGGUGUCUCCGGGCUGAAGGGGGAGUCCACCAACAGCCCCUCCGGUUACACGGACGCUUUGAACUGUGGGUAAUCGCUCAGUGAGGAGCCUGAAUGUGCUGAGAGUUCUCAUCAUCCCCCCUUAGCCGACCUCUCCGCUCAACCUUUGGAAGGGAACCCGACAGACCACUUGAUGCCCCCCCGGCUGGAUUACAGCACCAGCUUCCUCUUCGUCCUCCAGACGGUUCCUCUCAAAGGGAAAACCAGCGAGAACAAAGACGCUGCAGAGCAUCAUCUUCUCUUCUCGGGUCCUGCACACUUGAACUCGACGGCCUACAGCUCCUCCGCAGACCAAACCGAGGAUCCUCCAGAAAGAGCUCAGACGUUCAGGAGGAAGAAAAACACGGAAAUAAAGGAGCCUGAAGUGAAGCGAGAGGAAAGACAACGAUGUGAUGCAACGCUGGCGAGAUCUCAGCGAACACAAACAAUAAACCUUCGGCUCUGUCAGCAGAGUUCAGCGCAACACUCCCGUCUCUGUCUGCAAUAAGUUCUGCAAAGACAGAAGUACCUCACUCCAGCUGUGUCAGCAUUAAAGGUACUUGUAGUACCAGGAGUAAAGGCAGCCCUCCAGCAGAAGAAUAUACUGUAUUUUACAACAUUGUACAUCAAUUAUGUGUUCAUGCGUUCAUCAGCUGGAUGACGUUUCAUCACUUCAUGUAGUUCCGAGUUGCUUUUAAUUACCACAUGUUUGAUCUUUUCUAUUCAUACAAUUAAAUCAAACUAUAUUUUAUCUAAGUAACACAAGUUAAAUGUAGUGGAGUAAAAAGUACAUUAGUCCCCUCUAGGUUGAAGUAGCAGUAUGAAGUACAAGUACAGCACAUGAGUAAAUGCAUCAACAUCUUGUGUAAUCCUUUUCUUUGUGUUUGACCUUCAUCUAAACAUCACAUUAUUCUACUUUUAGAGUGAGAUUUAAAGUCUGAUUGAGUUCAGCGGCGAAUCGAGAGACGUUUUCACACGUCUGUGAUAAAGAAACACUCUGAUAAUAAACGUUGUUAGAUGAUGGUUUUCAUGUUUAUUAUCAAGUCUUUUUUAAGCAGCAGAAACCAGUCGGAAGUGAAAAUGUGUGCAGUGCUUCUGCUACGUGGCCCUGGGCCUCCUUUACCCCCCCAAUUACCCCCCCCCCUCCUCGGCUGAUUAUUGAAACUGUCCUCUGGGUGAGAACGUACAGCAAUAACACGCAAAAAAAGCCAAUUGGGUUAAACAACAAGCACAUUGGCCCCCGUGCUGGAGAAAGGGCAGAAUCUAAUAGUCAGGUAGCAAUAUGUGAGUGGAAUUACAGCAUUAGUUUUCAUCAGUGUCCCCCCAGCAGCGAGGGGGGGGGGCACAAAUCUAAUUGAGAGAGAACGCAUUAUCUCCGCCAUUGUUUGCAGGCUUUUCCUCUUUUCUCCGUCGCUGGUGAAACUUUGGGCGGCGCCGUUGUGAGGAGACGAGGAGGCGUUGUGAGGAGACGAGGCGGAGUUGUGAGGAGACGAGGCGGCGUUGUGAGGAGACGAGGCGGAGUUGUGAGGAGACGAGGUGGCGUUGUGAGGAGAUGAGGCGGAGUUGUGAGGAGACGAGGCGGAGUUGUGAGGAGACAAGGAGGC
Molecule: long non-coding RNA, 4873 nt
Organism: Gasterosteus aculeatus aculeatus (three-spined stickleback)
Lineage: Eukaryota; Metazoa; Chordata; Actinopteri; Perciformes; Gasterosteidae
Source: Ensembl